AUACGUAGGGGGCGAGCGUUGUCCGGAAUGAUUGGGCGUAAAGGGCGCGUAGGCGGCGCGGUAAGUCUGGAGUGAAAGUCCUGCUUUCAAGGUGGGAAUUGCUUUGGAUAUUGCCGCGCUUGAGUGCAGGAGAGGUUAUCGGAAUUCCCGGUGUAGCGGUGAAAUGCGUAGAGAUCGGGAGGAACACCAGUGGCGAAGGCGGGUAACUGGACUGCAACUGACGCUGAGGCGCGAAAGUGUGGGGAGCAAACAGGAUAGAUACCCUGGUAGUCCACGUUGUAAACGAUGAUUACUAGGUGUGGGGGGACUGACCCCUUCCGUGCCGCAGUUAACACAAUAAGUAAUCCACCUGGGGAGUACGGCCGCAAGGUUGAAACUCAAAUGAAUUGACGGGG
RNAcentral lists this ribosomal RNA (395 nucleotides) under uncultured bacterium. Its description in RNAcentral is "partial 16S ribosomal RNA". It matches the Rfam family "Bacterial small subunit ribosomal RNA", at positions 523 to 918 of the family's 1533-position model. The record is from RNAcentral.